This 497-nucleotide ribosomal RNA is filed under the name uncultured bacterium. Its description in RNAcentral is "partial 16S ribosomal RNA". It matches the Rfam family "Bacterial small subunit ribosomal RNA", at positions 28 to 507 of the family's 1533-position model. The record is from RNAcentral.
GACGAACGCUGGCGGCGUGCCUAAUACAUGCAAGUAGAACGCUGAAGAGAGGAGCUUGCUCUUCUUGGAUGAGUUGCGAACGGGUGAGUAACGCGUAGGUAACCUGCCUUGUAGCGGGGGAUAACUAUUGGAAACGAUAGCUAAUACCGCAUAACAAUGGAUGACACAUGUCAUUUAUUUGAAAGGGGCAAUUGCUCCACUACAAGAUGGACCUGCGUUGUAUUAGCUAGUAGGUGAGGUAAUGGCUCACCUAGGCGACGAUACAUAGCCGACCUGAGAGGGUGAUCGGCCACACUGGGACUGAGACACGGCCCAGACUCCUACGGGAGGCAGCAGUAGGGAAUCUUCGGCAAUGGGGGCAACCCUGACCGAGCAACGCCGCGUGAGUGAAGAAGAUUUUCGGAUCGUAAAGCUCUGUUGUAAGUCAAGAACGGGUGUGAGAGUGGAAAGUUCACACUGUGACGGUAGCUGACCAGAAAGGGACGGCUAACUACGUG